Molecule: small nucleolar RNA, 69 nt
Organism: Suricata suricatta (meerkat)
Lineage: Eukaryota; Metazoa; Chordata; Mammalia; Carnivora; Herpestidae
Source: Ensembl
CGCAGAUGAUGUCUUCAGGUGCUCACCGUGGGCACUGUGAAAGCCACUUGGCAAAGCUGAUGCCCGAAG